UACGUAGGCAGCAAGCGUUGUUCGGAGUUACUGGGCGUAAAGAGUGCGUAGGCGGUCCUGUAAGUUUGGUGUGAAAUCUCCCGGCUCAACUGGGAGGGUGCGCCGAAGACUGCAGGGCUUGAGUAUGGGAGAGGUAAGCGGAAUUCCUGGUGUAGCGGUGAAAUGCGUAGAUAUCAGGAGGAACACCUGUGGUGUAGACAGCUUACUGGACCAUAACUGACGCUGAGGCACGAAAGCGUGGGGAGCGAACAGG
RNAcentral lists this ribosomal RNA (253 nucleotides) under uncultured bacterium. RNAcentral describes it as "partial 16S ribosomal RNA". It matches the Rfam family "Bacterial small subunit ribosomal RNA", at positions 524 to 776 of the family's 1533-position model. The record is from RNAcentral.